CUGAGGAGGGGAGAGGGGGGUGAGUGAGGCAACUGUUCCCAGUACAUUUUGCUUCCCCAUCAGAGAGUAUUGCAAAAAGCAAUAGGAGAAAUGAUGGACAUCAAUGCACCAUCUGCUCUCAGUAGAGUCUGUUAGCUUCUAUUAAUGUUUACAUGUUGAGUACAGACUUAGUCUAAAUUCCCAUUAUACUUCACAACAGCUCACUGGCAACUAAACACACAGAAUAAAACUACAAUCUAUUGGAAUGAGGAUGUUCUGCAGUGCAGUACUAUCCUGUCUAGUGUUUUGGGGAAGUCUGUUGGCUCUACACUCCUGACAUUCUAAUGAACUUGCUGGUGUUGACCUUCCUGAACAGGUAGGUACAGUCAUCAGGUGAUAUCAUGUGACCAGGAACAAGAGGGAAUAGACCUGUACUCACCUGAUACAAGUCAUAAUGCAUAGCACUAGACAAACUCCACCUUACUCAAACACAGA
Non-coding RNA from Salvelinus sp. IW2-2015, 474 nucleotides. Lineage: Eukaryota; Metazoa; Chordata; Actinopteri; Salmoniformes; Salmonidae. The record is from RefSeq and is a predicted model, not a curated record.